GAUGAACGCUGGCGGCGUGCCUAAUACAUGCAAGUCGAGCGGACGGACGAGAAGCUUGCUUCUCUGAUGUUAGCGGCGGACGGGUGAGUAACACGUGGAUAACCUACCUGUAAGACUGGGAUAACUUCGGGAAACCGGAGCUAAUACCGGAUGAUAUUUUGAACCGCAUGGUUCAAUAGUGAAAGACGGUCUUGUUGGCAGUUAUGGAUGGAUCCGCGCUGGAUUAGCUGGUUGGUGGGGUAGUGGCUUACCAAGGCUAUGCUGGGUAGCCGGCCUGGGAGGGUGACCGGCCACAUUGGGACUGAGAUACGGACCAGAAUCCUACGGGAGGCAGCAGGGGGGAAUAUUGCACAAUGGGCGGAAGCCUGAUGCAGCAACGCCGCGUGCGGGAUGACGGCCUUCGGGUGGUAAACAGCUUUCGCCUGUGACGAAGCGUGAGUGACGGUAAUGGGUAAAGAAGCACCGGCUAACUACGUG
RNAcentral lists this ribosomal RNA (477 nucleotides) under uncultured bacterium. Its description in RNAcentral is "partial 16S ribosomal RNA". It matches the Rfam family "Bacterial small subunit ribosomal RNA", at positions 28 to 507 of the family's 1533-position model. The record is from RNAcentral.